Molecule: ribosomal RNA, 253 nt
Filed under: uncultured bacterium
Lineage: Bacteria
Description: partial 16S ribosomal RNA
Rfam family: Bacterial small subunit ribosomal RNA
Source: RNAcentral
UACGAAGGGUGCAAGCGUUACUCGGAAUUACUGGGCGUAAAGCGUGCGUAGGUGGUGAGUUAAGUCUGUCGUGAAAGCCCCGGGCUCAACCUGGGAAUGGCGAUGGAUACUGGCUCGCUAGAGUGCGGUAGAGGAGAGUGGAACUCCCGGUGUAGCAGUGAAAUGCGUAGAGAUCGGGAGGAACAUCAGUUGCGAAGGCGGCUCUCUGGACCAGCACUGACACUGAGGCACGAAAGCGUGGGGAGCAAACAGG